UGCUCAAAAGUUCCUUCAAGUUCGCUUUGUUAUAUCCAGUGACCAGUUUGCUGACAUUCUAACCAAGGGACUAUCUGCUCCACUAUUUCAGACCCACUGCAACAACCUCAGGCUCGAUUGCUCCUCUCCUGAGUUUGAGGGGGGAUGUUGAGGAUAGUGAUCCAAUACUUAAUAAGAUGCCACUUGUCAUUAGAUAAGAAAGGUUGUUAUAUUAGGUAGUUACAAGAUAGCUUAAGAGAUAAGGUUUACUGUGUAAAAGAAUAUAAGUAUGUAAUAUUCUGAACAAUAAAUGUAAUGAAAUAGUCUUUAGUAUUGAACGACUCUCUCUUUCUUCUUCUCAAGAUAUCUCUGUUCUUCGUCUUU
This 363-nucleotide long non-coding RNA is filed under the name Malus domestica (apple). RNAcentral's name for it is "long non-coding RNA (MDOM_LNC012064)". The record is from RNAcentral. Lineage: Eukaryota; Viridiplantae; Streptophyta; Magnoliopsida; Rosales; Rosaceae.